AAUCAACGCUGGCGGCGUGCCUCAGACAUGCAAGUCGAACGAUUAAAGCUCUCUUCGGAGAGUGUAUAGAGUGGCGCACGGGUGAGUAACACGUAAGUAAUCUACCUUCGAGUGGGAUAACGUCCGGAACGGACGCUAAUACCGCAUAACGCAGCGGCAUCGCAAGAUGACAGUUGUUAAAGAUUAUCGCUUGAAGAGGAGCUUGCGGCAGAUUGGCAGUUGGUAAGGUAACGGCUUACCAAGGCUACGAUCUGUAUCCGGUCUAAGAGGGACGGUCGGACACACUGACACUGAAUAACGGGUCAGACUCCUACGGGGAGGCAGCAGUC
This 329-nucleotide ribosomal RNA is filed under the name uncultured bacterium. RNAcentral's name for it is "bacterial SSU rRNA". It matches the Rfam family "Bacterial small subunit ribosomal RNA", at positions 32 to 356 of the family's 1533-position model. The record is from RNAcentral.